This is a long non-coding RNA of Trifolium pratense (red clover), 5359 nucleotides long. RefSeq lists it as uncharacterized. The record is from RefSeq and is a predicted model, not a curated record. The transcript is spliced from 6 exons. Lineage: Eukaryota; Viridiplantae; Streptophyta; Magnoliopsida; Fabales; Fabaceae.
AUCACACUCACUCUACCUCCUAUUUUCAUAAAGCAAUUUCAGAGCACCUCACCCCAACACUCUCUUCUCUCUCCGUGUCCUUCAUUACCACCCCCAACAUCAAAGCUCACCCCACUAAUAUCACUUCAAUGUUGCAUGCAAGUUAGGAAUUGAAUUCUUUGAGUCUCAAGAAGCAAGGUUAGAACCUAUAACUUCCUUCUCUCCUUCCCUCUGCCACGCAAUUAUCUCCCUCUCCACCUUCCCAAAUCAUUCUUAGCCUCCAAACCCUUAUUCACUAAACUGCUCAUUCAUUUCCAAUCCUUCAACUUAUGGUGGUUGCAUGUGAAAUUAAAGCACUUAUGAACCUUUGGGUAUUUGAUAUAAACUGGGAUUUAAAGUGGAAGUGAACAGAAAUGGAAGCUUGGUUUGGUGAAGUUUGGAAGAAUUUAUGUAAAAACCAGUAUUUCUGGACAUACCCUCACUAAAAAGCCUCGUGAGAUUUGGUGGAGAAAUAAGGUCUGUGCGAAUUUUUGAAAUGAAAGGUUCAAUACAGGAUUUUGCAGAAUUCGUGUUUGGACAGGGCUGCACUUAAAUGGUGAUUUCUCACUCUCUAUAAUUCUGUUUGAAAUCUCGUUUGUUUCUAUGGAUAGCUAACUCAAUUACGGUCGUCUUGGUUCUGGUUUGGUAUAUUAUGGAUGAGGAAUGAGCUCAGAGGACGCAUUUAAAGUUGGAGGUCUGAAGCUGCGUUAUGCAGAAAAUUCUGUUGCGAAUUUGCGUAUUCGAGUGGCACAAUCAUAUGGUUGUUAAGCGUGCGGGACAACUCGGUACUGCAAUUCAUAUCAGAUAAGCAGGUUGAUCGAGAUAUCUUGGUUUGUUAGCACGAAGAUUCAGAUACGUGGAUUACGUUAUGGAGCUGACAUCAUGUUAAUCUUAUUAUUAUAUAAGAUUCAGUUUAUUUGAGUUUAGUAGUUAGCUCAAUCAUGUAUUCAUUUAGUGGAUUAUUGUAAUCCUAUUGAUGUAUUUGAUCUUUAUGUAGUGAAAAAUUAAUGUUUCCCGAUUCAGUUAUGUACACUCUUGUUGAUAUUCUAGAUAAAUUGACAUGAGAUGUUAUAAUUGGUAUCAGAGCAGGUCGAUUCAGUAUCGGACCUUGCCGCGGAUCAUUAAAAUUCAAUCCAAAGUAGUAUGGACCCUUUGGAGUCUGAACUGUUUACGUUGAAAUCAUUACGUGCUGAGCCCGAUCAACUCGGUAUCGUGUAUGGUAGGCAGGGUAUUACGGUUGAGAACCGAAGCGGACCAAGGAGGUCUCGUAGCAAGAACAUGGUAGAAGCGCUAACUCAUAAGGAAGUAAGAGAGAAGAUCUCUAGAAGCGGAUGUUGGAGUUUCAGCAGUCGACGCUACAGGAGUAAGUAACACCAAUAAGUGGUUCGUAGAAUUUGGAAUAGUAUGUAGCAUAAUACCAGUAGUAAGGGGCAUGUCAGGAGAUGCACGAACCGAAUGCGCUCAACUGACGGUAGCAUGUAUAAGAAUGUGGAGAAUUCUGGGACUGAAAAAUUAUAGUAGGUCUGAUGGGCGCAUUAAUAUAGAUGAUGGAAUUAUGAGAACGGCGCGCCCAGUAUAUUGAAGUGUGGUACACCAGUAUUAUCCAACCAGCAAAUAUGUAUGACGUGAACCUAAUUACAAGAAGCACCUUAAUUCAAAUAAGAAUUAACAGGAGUCACUGAACCCAAAACUUUUUCGAAUUUGUUUAACCUUCAUUUCAGCCCAGUAGCUUUCCCCAGUGGCGUAGGUCAAUUAAAUACACUAUCGGAGAAAGACAAACUAGACUUCAUGCAUUACCUUAAUUCCUAAUGUUAGCCUGUUGCACCAUUCGAGUAGAACAAGAACACUAGACGCCCCAAUAAGAUAAGUUCAGCCUCGCAGUUCUUAACUAUAGUACUCAAGGAAGAUCAUUAGCAGCCAAGUCUCGUAUAGAAUAAUGAUUGGAAUUUAAUUCUAAUGCUAUCAGUCACCUAAGGCGACAUAUUAAAUGUCAUUAUCAUUUGCUUCAGGAACAAGUAACGCAGUUUAGUACUAACUUCAACAAGUCGCCAAAUAUUUUUUCGUAUUCAAACCUCUCAGCUAAAAAAAAAAAAAAAAAACCCAACAUAUUCAGUCAAAUCUUUUGUGAGAGUUGCUUAGCUAAGUGCUAAUGAGAAUCAGGUAUGUUCCAAUUCAAGAGAUUUGUCAUUGGAAGGAAAUCAUGAAGUAUGAACAUUAAGUUCCACGAACCUAUCUAAUUUUAGUAGAGAGGUAAAUCCUUUCGGUGCCUUGAGACCCAUCACUUACAUUUAGUGUAAGAACUCAAUUAAGUUGCGGACCUUUCUAGUUCCUCAAUAUGAGCGAAUCAUAUUCAAAUUUAGAGUGUUAUCCUUAUGUAACUGUGACAAAAUGUCUCCAGCUUUCCAGGUUUGUUAUAAGUAAUCGAUUCAGACUUAUGUAAGUUUGAAUUGCUUGUUAAGAGUAAAUGAUUAAUGUUCCUUUAAGAACUAUCAGCUAUUCUAGUUGACCUGCAAGUUAACAUCCUUAAGUGGUCUAACGUAGAGUAACUCUAGCCAGUAUGUCAUGUCGAACUUCAUAGCAUUAACACUAUGUUCCCCACCAAGAAAUUUUCCAAUCUUUUAGUUUCAUUACUAAUUACCGGUUCAGAACCACAUAAGUUUAAUUAAUUAUUCAGGUUCAUGCAUAAUUUCAGUUUAAGUUCUCACGUGUCUUGUUAACUUGUUAAACAUCGUAAGGUACCUCGAACGUUGGAAACGUUAAUGCAAUCAAUUCAGUUCACCUUUCUUUAUGAGAUCUUACCAACUCAUUUCGGAUAAAAAUCCAAGACCAUCUAGAGAUGUAAAAGUAGUAUCAAGAUUGGUGCUAAUGGUACGAACCUUUCAAUCCCAGUCACUGUAACCAAGUUAGACCAAUGUAAGUCUGGAAAUGUUAGCCAAUAAAUAUGAAUAAUUCUUUGGAAAAUCGUCGGAUAUCUUUAUGACCGAUUAAUUAGCAUCAUCAAGCAGCCCAAAGUUAGGCAACUUAAUUAGUAGUAGUAUCACCAUUAGUAAACCAAGACAAUUGUGUUUGACAGUUCGUUAGCAAUCAGUUUAUUAGAUAACCUAUUCACACCAGCCAGUGUCUCAUAUUUUUGUGUGUACCCCCCAACCAGGCCAGAUACCGACCUAAAGAAAUUUGUUAUGUAACAAAGUAAUUGUCGGGAACAAUAAAGAAAGUAAAUACAGAAAGAGGAUUGACUGUAGUUGAGGACCGUGAAGUGAUAAGUCAAACAGUAACCAACUCGCCAAGAAUAUCGCUGUUCGAAGUAAGAGUCGUGGUUGAAACAACUCAGUGAUCACAACCAAACGUAAUGGUAAGCAGAGACAAAUGCUAGGAAAUUGGUAAUAUGAAACAAAUGUAGACCGUAUGAGUUGACGUGUUGCGGACAUGUAAGAUUAUGGUAACGUGUUAAGUAUGCGGUGGUGUGGCUGACAUCACGAAGGGAUGCAAGUAUUACCUUGUGAUGUCUAGGUACAAGAAGUAAUAACAAAAGGAGUAAGGACGGACAAAAUAAGACGAUGUGUGACAUUGUCCGGGAAAUUGUAGGCUAAGGCUGUAAUGACACAGUCUGAAGAAGAUUGUAAGUAGUUGAUAUCAGAGUGCGCAGCCAAUAUUUGACAAGAAUAUAGUCAACAGAUUUGCUUGUAGGUCAAAAACUCUUUCAAAGAGGAAAGAUUUAUUCCAAAGGAUUGGAUGUGAAAGUCGAUAAGAUAAUCAAAGAACGUAUGACGAGUGACGGUUUACCCUUAAAGCUAGGGGUCACGUUGGGAAAAUAGUUCUUGAAAAGUUUGAUGCGGUGAACUAGUAAUAAAGUAAUUAUGCUCCGUUGUUAAUGUGCAAAGUGCGGAAAAAGAGACUAUUGUGCCGUGAGUGUUCGAACGGAGAAGGGAUAACGGAAAAGACUACUAUGAGAUAAGUGCGCACCUAAGAGUUGUAAUAUUGAAUAAGGUUGUGAAUUCGACGUCAUGAAAAUGGAUGAGUAGGAUUUCAAAAGUGGCAUAAAUAACUACUAAACGAAAUAACAAGUAAUGAUAAGUGAUCUGGGACGACAGAUUAUAAUCUGAUAAAAGGUGAAGUUUAGAAUCUGGACGGGGGUAUAGACAAUUUACUUUGGUGAUGAAUGAAUAAGUUCUGGAAUUUCGAGGACGAAAUUCUUUUAAGGGGGAUAGAUUGUAACAUCCCAACUUUAAUUAAUAGGAAAAUAUUAAUUAGAGAUGUUAUUGGAAACUAAAUAGAAAUGAGAGUACAAGUAUUAAGGGAUACUCAAAUGACACAAGCACACUUUGAAGUUAAGUGAAAGGAUAAGAUGGUAAUUAAACUAUGCCUAUAUAAGGUCAUCACACUCACUCUACCUCCUAUUUUCAUAAAGCAAUUUCAGAGCACCUCACCCCAACACUCUCUUCUCUCUCCGUGUCCUUCAUUACCACCCCCAACAUCAAAGCUCACCCCACUAAUAUCACUUCAAUGUUGCAUGCAAGUUAGGAAUUGAAUUCUUUGAGUCUCAAGAAGCAAGGUUAGAACCUAUAACUUCCUUCUCUCCUUCCCUCUGCCACGCAAUUAUCUCCCUCUCCACCUUCCCAAAUCAUUCUUAGCCUCCAAACCCUUAUUCACUAAACUGCUCAUUCAUUUCCAAUCCUUCAACUUAUGGUGGUUGCAUGUGAAAUUAAAGCACUUAUGAACCUUUGGGUAUUUGAUAUAAACUGGGAUUUAAAGUGGAAGUGAACAGAAAUGGAAGCUUGGUUUGGUGAAGUUUGGAAGAAUUUAUGUAAAAACCAGUAUUUCUGGACAUACCCUCACUAAAAAGCCUCGUGAGAUUUGGUGGAGAAAUAAGGUCUGUGCGAAUUUUUGAAAUGAAAGGUUCAAUACAGGAUUUUGCAGAAUUCGUGUUUGGACAGGGCUGCACUUAAAUGAGGACGCAUUUAAAGUUGGAGGUCUGAAGCUGCGUUAUGCAGAAAAUUCUGUUGCGAAUUUGCGUAUUCGAGUGGCACAAUCAUAUGGUUGUUAAGCGUGCGGGACAACUCGGUACUGCAAUUCAUAUCAGAUAAGCAGGUUGAUCGAGAUAUCUUGGUUUGUUAGCACGAAGAUUCAGAUACGUGGAUUACGUUAUGGAGCUGACAUCAUGUUAAUCUUAUUAUUAUAUAAGAUUCAGUUUAUUUGAGUUUAGUAGUUAGCUCAAUCAUGUAUUCAUUUAGUGGAUUAUUGUAAUCCUAUUGAUGUAUUUGAUCUUUAUGUAGUGAAAAAUUAAUGUUUCCCGAUUCAGUUAUGUACACUCUUGUUGAUAUUCUAGAUAAAUUGACAUGAG